AUGUCCAUCAUGAACUCCUUCAUCAAUGACAUCUUUGAGAAGCUUGCCGGCGAGUCCGCCAAGCUGGCCCGAUACAACAAGAAGCCCACCAUCACGUCCCGGGAGAUCCAGACAUCCGUCCGCCUCGUCCUCCCCGGCGAGCUCGCCAAGCACGCCGUCUCUGAGGGCACCAAGGCCGUCACCAAGUUCACCUCCUCCUAG
RNAcentral lists this ribosomal RNA (201 nucleotides) under Triticum aestivum (bread wheat). Its description in RNAcentral is "partial small subunit ribosomal RNA". Lineage: Eukaryota; Viridiplantae; Streptophyta; Magnoliopsida; Poales; Poaceae. The record is from RNAcentral.